RNAcentral lists this microRNA precursor (84 nucleotides) under Bombyx mori (domestic silkworm). RNAcentral describes it as "mir-2807 microRNA precursor family". It matches the Rfam family "mir-2807 microRNA precursor family". The record is from Rfam by way of RNAcentral. Lineage: Eukaryota; Metazoa; Arthropoda; Insecta; Lepidoptera; Bombycidae.
UUAACUCAUUUUUUUAUGGACUAGGAACGUUUGCCUACGUUUGCCGCUAGGGGCGCUGUUUCAACUGCAUACAAAUUUGAGUUA